This 327-nucleotide ribosomal RNA is filed under the name uncultured eukaryote. RNAcentral describes it as "partial 18S ribosomal RNA". It matches the Rfam family "Eukaryotic small subunit ribosomal RNA", at positions 1470 to 1796 of the family's 1831-position model. The record is from RNAcentral.
CCCCUAGAUGUUCUGGGCCGCACACGCGCUACACUGAAGGAGGCAGCGUGUACUCCUGGAUCGAAAGAUUUGGGUAACCCGCGAAUCUCCUUCGUGCUAGGGAUUGAGGUUUGCAAUUAUCCUUCAUGAACGAGGAAUUCCCAGUAAGUGCAAGUCAUAAGCUUGCGCUGACUACGUCCCUGCCCUUUGUACACACCGCCCGUCGCUACUACCGAUUGAAUGAUUUAGUGAGGACUUCGGACUGGGACCGAUGCGGCUUUCGGGCUGCGUCGGUAUUCUGGAAAGAUGUCCAAACUGUAUCAUUUAGAGGAAGUAAAAGUCGUANCA